Molecule: non-coding RNA, 115 nt
Organism: Acanthosepion pharaonis
Lineage: Eukaryota; Metazoa; Mollusca; Cephalopoda; Sepiida; Sepiidae
Source: the annotation of a GenBank genome assembly
UUACGGCCACAUCACGUUGAAAAACUGGGUAACAUACGGUCACUGAAGUUAAGCAACAUUGAGCCUGGUCAGUACUUAGACCUGGUGACUGCUUGGGAAUAUCAGGUGCUGUAAG